UACGGAGGGGGCAAGCGUUGUUCGGAAUUACUGGGCGUAAAGGGCGCGCAGGCGGCUGCUCAAGUCAGGCGUGAAAGGCCUGGGCUCAACCCGGGAAUUGCGCUUGAGACUGGGCUGGCUUGAGUGCGGGAGAGGAUGGUGGAAUUCCCAGUGUAGAGGUGAAAUUCGUAGAUAUUGGGAAGAACGCCGGUGGCGAAGGCGGCCAUCUGGACCGCAACUGACGCUGAGGCGCGAAAGCGUGGGGAGCAAACAGG
This 254-nucleotide ribosomal RNA is filed under the name uncultured bacterium. Its description in RNAcentral is "partial 16S ribosomal RNA". It matches the Rfam family "Bacterial small subunit ribosomal RNA", at positions 524 to 776 of the family's 1533-position model. The record is from RNAcentral.